Molecule: ribosomal RNA, 432 nt
Filed under: uncultured Myroides sp.
Lineage: Bacteria; Pseudomonadati; Bacteroidota; Flavobacteriia; Flavobacteriales; Flavobacteriaceae
Description: bacterial SSU rRNA
Rfam family: Bacterial small subunit ribosomal RNA
Source: RNAcentral
AACGCGAAGAACCUUACCAGGGCUUAAAUGUAGAUUGACAGAUUUGGAAACAGGUUUUUCUUCGGACAAUUUACAAGGUGCUGCAUGGUUGUCGUCAGCUCGUGCCGUGAGGUGUCAGGUUAAGUCCUAUAACGAGCGCAACCCCUAUUGUUAGUUACCAUCGCGUAGUGGCGGGGACUCUAGCAAGACUGCCGGUGCAAACCGUGAGGAAGGUGGGGAUGACGUCAAAUCAUCACGGCCCUUACGUCCUGGGCUACACACGUGCUACAAUGGCAAGUACAGAAAGCAGCUACCUGGCAACAGGAUGCGAAUCUCCAAAGCUUGUCUCAGUUCGGAUUGGAGUCUGCAACUCGACUCUAUGAAGCUGGAAUCGCUAGUAAUCGGAUAUCAGCCAUGAUCCGGUGAAUACGUUCCCGGGUCUUGUACACACCG